GUAACAAGUGCACAUGCACUAAUAAGUAAGCACAAGAAUGGCAAAGACAAUAAUGGCGACGGUGGUGGUGGUGGCGGUGGUGGUGGCAGCCAUGUUUGAAGGAACAAGGUCACUGAACUUGUGUGACAUGGAUGACGAUGGGCUUUUAGCUUGCAAACCAUCAGUUACAAAACCUAAUCCAGUGGUUCCACCAUCACCAAAAUGUUGCAAGGCACUCUCAGGGGCUAAUUUGACAUGUCUGUGUUCUUAUAGGAACUCUUUAAUGUUGCCUUCUCUUGGUAUUGAUCCUGAUCUUGCUUUGGCUUUGCCUGCCAAAUGCAAUCUCACCACUCCUGCCGAUUGCUAAUGCUUAAGGUAUG
Long non-coding RNA from Jatropha curcas, 359 nucleotides. RefSeq annotates it as putative lipid-transfer protein DIR1. Lineage: Eukaryota; Viridiplantae; Streptophyta; Magnoliopsida; Malpighiales; Euphorbiaceae. The record is from RefSeq and is a predicted model, not a curated record.